CUUGACCAAACAUAAGAGGUCUAGCCUGCCCAGUGACUCUGUUCAACGGCCGCGGUAUCCUAACCGUGCGAAGGUAGCGUAAUCAUUUGUUCUUUAAAUGAGGACUAGUAUGAAUGGCUCCACGAGGGUUAUACUGUCUCCUUUUUCUAAUCAGUAAAAUUAAUCUCCCCGUGAAGAAGCGGGAAUAACUAUAUAAGACGAGAAGACCCUAUGGAGCUUUAAACAAACUACAUUUGCCUAAUUUACACUAACAAUUUCAGAAAAAAAAAUAAAUUUUAACAUUAUACUAGCAAGUUUUAGGUUGGGGUGACCGCGGAGUAAAACAUAACCUCCACAUUGAAUAAGAAAAUUCUUUAGCUAAAAGCUACGACUUAAAGCACCAACAAAUUGACAUUUUUUGACCCAAUUAGUUGAUCAACGAAC
The sequence is a ribosomal RNA, 423 nucleotides long. It matches the Rfam family "Bacterial large subunit ribosomal RNA", at positions 1834 to 2457 of the family's 2925-position model.